This 561-nucleotide ribosomal RNA is filed under the name uncultured bacterium. RNAcentral describes it as "bacterial SSU rRNA". It matches the Rfam family "Bacterial small subunit ribosomal RNA", at positions 339 to 906 of the family's 1533-position model. The record is from RNAcentral.
CUACGGGAGGCAGCAGUAGGGAAUUUUCGGCAAUGGAGGAAACUCUGACCGAGCAACGCCGAGUGAAUGAAGACAUAUUUCGGUAUGUAAAGUUCUUUUAUCAGGGAAGAAUGACCCGUGGAAAAACGGGUGUGACGGUACCUGAUGAAUAAGCCCCGGCUAACUAUGUGCCAGCAGCCGCGGUAAUACAUAGGGGGCAAGCGUUAUCCGGAAUUAUUGGGCGUAAAGGGUGCGUAGGCGGCCAUUUAAGUCCUUGGUAUAAGUGCAGUGCUUAACGCUGUGAUGCUAAGGAAACUGGAUGGCUUGAGUGAGAUAGAGGCAAGUGGAAUUCCAUGUGUAGCGGUAAAAUGCGUAAAUAUAUGGAGGAACACCAGUGGCGAAGGCGGCUUGCUGGGUCUUCACUGACGCUGAGGCACGAAAGCGUGGGGAGCAAACAGGAUUAGAUACCCUGGUAGUCCACGCCGUAAACGAUGAGUACUAAGUGUUGGAGAAAUUCAGUGCUGUAGUUAACGCAAUAAGUACUCCGCCCGAGUAGUACGUACGCAAGUAUGAAACUCAAAG